GAUUGGGACCCUCAAGAGGAGUGUUGAUCCAACAAAAAGGUCCUGGUGAGUGGGGAUAAUGCAGUAAGAAGGCCCUUACCAGACCCUGAUACCUCAACGUUGGAUUUCCCAGUCUCCAGAACGGUAAGAAAUAAAUUUCUAUUGUUCAUAAAUUACUCAGUCUGUGAUAUUCUGUUAUAACAAUGCUAAACAAAUGAAGACAGAAACAGGUACCAGAAGUGGGGUGUUCUAGAAUCAAUUUCUAAAAAUGUGG
RNAcentral lists this long non-coding RNA (253 nucleotides) under Callithrix jacchus (white-tufted-ear marmoset). Its description in RNAcentral is "lncRNA (ENSCJAG00000070037.1)". The record is from RNAcentral. Lineage: Eukaryota; Metazoa; Chordata; Mammalia; Primates; Cebidae.